UGUCAGUCUCCUCAUUCCUUGUCCUGAACUUCUUCAUCAGGUGACCCUGAUGUGAUAGACCAGAAAUCAGGCCAAAUGAUAAGACCAGCAGCGCAGGACCAGUGAUGGCAGGGAAAACUUGGACAUCCAUUGGCUAAGGAAUGUCUAAAAGAGGGGCCAGCCCAAGGUGACCAUCUCGCUUUCCCAGAGGUUCUGAGGAACAAUUGCAUGGAGUAUGAACAUUUGCCCUAUUCACUUUUUAAAGGAAUUGAAAAAAAAGCAUUCAGAAGUCAAAGUCUCAAAGUACUUCAAGUAUUGUUCAAAAGGAGAUGGCAGAACUUUUUAAGAGAGAAGCACAGACAUAUUUUCUGUGAGUGAAAUUUAUGA
Nycticebus coucang (slow loris) is the source of this 366-nucleotide long non-coding RNA. RefSeq lists it as uncharacterized. The record is from RefSeq and is a predicted model, not a curated record. Lineage: Eukaryota; Metazoa; Chordata; Mammalia; Primates; Lorisidae. The transcript is spliced from 3 exons.